UUUGCAGCCCUUGGCUGUAAGGAAUUUAGAAAUUUGGCUGGCAAAACUGGAUGUACUGCAUGCAUCUACUGUUUUAAAUGCAUAUACUGUUCUAAACUAAAGAGCUUACACUUCAUGAAUUGAAGAACCUUAAGUUUGAAGCUAGUAGGGAUGGUAGAAUGAUACUGAAGUAAUUUUUUUUUUUUAAUCCUUUUUUUUUUUCCCUUUCCAAAGGAGCAACAAUGCCCACUCACCUCUGGUAUUUCCCCAGCUCCCAUACAACCUUUCAGUAGCCUGGUGUAUGCACUGUGCCCUCAAACACUGCCAGUGGGGCACAGUAUGGCUCACUGAUUAAAAACAAAUUCUCAUUUUAAAGAACAGUCCUAAUGUUUGUAACAUAAAUGUGAAAGAACCCUGUUUUCACUAUCUUUGGUUCCAGCUUGAUGGGGCAGGAAAAUGCCCGUUCCUGAGAAGGACCUCAGUAGCACUCAUCUUUUCAACAGCAUCCUAACAGAGCUGAACUGUAAUAUCCAAAUAACUCCAUUGGGUCUCUCUUGAGAUGGUCCUUCCCAACAGAAUCUUCAGAAACAUAAGUUAAUAUAUUAGUUCAUAUUAGUUAUUUUGGUAGAGGGGAGGAAUGGGAGGGAGCCUAAAGGGCAAAGAAGAAAUUCUAGCUUGUCUCAGACUGGCCUCUAGCACAUGUUACUCAUGUCUUCUCCCCGCUGCCUUCUUUUGCAGCAAUUUUGCUUCCACCAUUAUAUUCUAUCAUCAUACUGUUUUGGUUUUUUUCUUCAAGUGACUCUGUAAAGGCAUUGGAAUGCUUGAGUGUCAAUAGAUGAUAGAUGAAUUGUCAUAGAAGAAGCAGACAGACAGGAAAACCGAAGCAGAUUAAAAGGUCAUAAUCAUUGGACCCAAUUCUUCUUUCAGCAUCUGGCUUUGUGUAAUGAAGCUAUGUGGAUUCUGGCUAGAAAGUAAUAUUUAAAAAGCAAAUCAUUCAGAAGUGCACUCCUGGCAAAGGGACAAGAAAACAGCACGUGCUAAUGCUGAGUUCUCCAGGCUGCUGUCUGCACAACCAAACCUUACACAGAGAGUAGCAUCUACGCCUAUGGGAGCUCCUGACAAACAAACACCACAAAGAGGCUUUAGAAACAGGUGGUCCAUUUAAAGAAAAAUCAACUGACUGUAAUACUUCAAUGAAAUGAAGUAUUCACUGAAGCUUCACCAAGGGCAAGUCCUGCCUGAAGAAGGCCCUGGACAAGGGAAGAGCUACAGACGUCAUGUAUCUGGACUUCUGUGAGGCCUUUGACACGGUCCCUCGCAGCAUCCUUCUCUCUAAAUUGGAGAGAGAUGGAUUUGAUGGGUGGACUGUUCGGUGGAUGAGGAAUUGGUUGGAUGGUUGCACUCAAAGAGUUAUCUGAGACAUCAGAUAACUGCAUACUGGAUAGACAUUAUGAAUGCUACUUUUACAGAUUAAAACCAUAAAUUAGAAUUUACACCUUCUUAGACAUCUGCAAAUCCUACAGUCACAAAGCUAUUGUAUAUAAGGUGGUGUUGAUUCUACUAGUUAUAGAAAAAAGUUGUUUUCUUAAAAUCAGUAAAUCGAGAAUUUUCUAACAAAUUACUACCAAAUCUGACAGGAUAAAAGCAGCUACAUUGAAAGGAAGCUCCUAAAAUUUACAAAAUUAUCUUCUUUGAAGGAGCCCUCCAAAACCAAGAAUUGAAAUAGUAGUUUAAGAUGAGAAGCCCAAACUAACACAAACAACACUGAAGCUGAUCAGAAAAAGUGAGAAGCCUGAUUUCUUAUUUCCCUAGUGUCCUGGUUUGAGGUAAAACAGAACCAAUUUUCUGAUUUGUAAUUUUGCUUUUUAGCUGGGCCUCUUCUAACUGACUAAAGUCUGAAAUUAACAGCGUAUUGUUCAGAAACUGUUCAGUCCCAGGGUGAUAAGACCUGAUUAUACCAAGGAAUGGUGCGCACAGAGGCUCUUGCUUAUACUUAUUGCUAUAACAACCAAGGCCAGCUAACUUCGCUGUUUGCCCCGUUGGAGGGUCGGAAGCGGAGAAGCGUAGAGGGGUCCCACCUGCAGGGAGGAGCAGAUGGGACAGGCGACCCCAAACUGCCCAACAGGGUAUUCCAUCCCAUCUGCACCACGCUCAGUGUAAAAGCUGAGGGAUCAAAGGGGCGAGGCGGCUCUGGCUCGCUUUUUCUUCAAUGGCCGACGUCUAAGGAGGACCCUGUCUGUUCGUCUGCCUUUGAUCCCGAUCCGAGCACUCCUGACUCUAGUUCUGGAGUUCAGCUCUUGUUCCUCGCCGACUCCACUCUGGGACUUUCCCUGUGUCUGCUGGUGACACGAUCGCCAUCCUGGGAGCUGGAUACAGUUUUGUAUA
This is a long non-coding RNA of Chroicocephalus ridibundus (black-headed gull), 2364 nucleotides long. RefSeq lists it as uncharacterized. The transcript is spliced from 5 exons. The record is from RefSeq and is a predicted model, not a curated record. Lineage: Eukaryota; Metazoa; Chordata; Aves; Charadriiformes; Laridae.